CCCUUAGAUGUUCUGGGCCGCACGCGCGUUACACUGAUGCAUUCAACGAGCUUAUAACCUUGGCCGAGAGGCCUGGGCAAUCUUGUUAACGUGCAUCGUGAUAGGGAUAGAUUAUUGAAAUUAUUAAUCUUGAACGAGAAAUUCCUAGUAAACGCAGAUCAUCAAUCUGCAUUGAUUACGUCCCUGCCCUUUGUACACACCGCCCGUCGCACCUACCGAUUGGAUGGUCCGGUGAAGCCUCGGGAUUGUGGUUCUUGCCGCUUUAUUGUGGCGUGACCGCGAGAACUUGUCUAAACCUUAUCAUCUAGAGGAAGGUGAAGUCGUAACA
RNAcentral lists this ribosomal RNA (328 nucleotides) under uncultured eukaryote. RNAcentral describes it as "partial 18S ribosomal RNA". It matches the Rfam family "Eukaryotic small subunit ribosomal RNA", at positions 1470 to 1796 of the family's 1831-position model. The record is from RNAcentral.